AAUGUUAUAGAAUUUGUACAAUUAGAACUGAUCCAUUUUGGUACUGACCAUUUUCCAUCUGAAAUAUUAACAUACCUAGCUGUCGACUGAAACUUUUCUAUAUCAAGCUUCAGGGCUUGUUAUUGAAGCUCCUACAAGUUUGGGCUACUUACAGUAAAUGCAACUUUAAUUGUAAUCCCUGAAAUGUAUACUUUCUCCCUCUCUAUGAUCACUGUGGAAGGAACUUUGGUUCUGAUGUUUUAUACCUCAUGUACUUAAUAGUCUUAUUGCUUUGUAAAGUUCCACACCGACAUCCGCUGCAGCAAUUGCAAGGAAUUGUUUGCAAGUCUGAAAAAGAAUUCCACCUCUUUGUGAGGGGAUUCCCGAAAUGGAUACAGCUGCUAGAACAUCUACGAGUGACUGGAUACCAAACCGAUCACCUGCACCUCAUUACAAGAAAAGAAGUGUGUUGUAUCUGCAAAAUAUCUGUUCACAUGAAUUUCUCAAAAUACCUUUCUCAUGAAUUAUGCAUUUAUUUAAUAAAAAUCAAUUUGUGAA
This is a long non-coding RNA of Hemiscyllium ocellatum (epaulette shark), 537 nucleotides long. RefSeq lists it as uncharacterized. NCBI's taxonomy places the organism in Eukaryota, Metazoa, Chordata, Chondrichthyes, Orectolobiformes, Hemiscylliidae. The transcript has 2 exons. The record is from RefSeq and is a predicted model, not a curated record.